Molecule: unclassified non-coding RNA, 268 nt
Filed under: uncultured fungus
Lineage: Eukaryota; Fungi
Description: sequence contains ITS1, 5.8S rRNA gene
Rfam family: 5.8S ribosomal RNA (bases 220-268)
Source: RNAcentral
UCUCCGUAGGUGAACCUGCGGAGGGAUCAUUACUGAGUGAGGGGCUCCGGCCCCAGACCUCCAACCCAUUGUUAUCCGACACUGUUGCCUCGGCGCAGGCUGGGAGCUUCUGUAAACUCCCCCCCGCGGACUCACCUCUGCGCGGAGCAGGCCCGCCGGCGGCCCCACCAAACUCUUGUUUUUAGUGUCUCUUCUGAGUUAAACAAACAAAUGAAUCAAAACUUUCAACAACGGAUCUCUUGGUUCUGGCAUCGAUGAAGAACGCAGC